This is an RNA transcript of Rhagoletis zephyria (snowberry fruit fly), 788 nucleotides long. RefSeq lists it as uncharacterized. The record is from RefSeq and is a predicted model, not a curated record. Lineage: Eukaryota; Metazoa; Arthropoda; Insecta; Diptera; Tephritidae.
AUCAAAUUAAGGAAAUAAGUGCCCGUCGCCGCUGACCUCAUCUGGAUCCCCAUGUGACGCUGAAACAAAUGUGGAGUCUGACGAUUCACAGCCAACGCCAUCAACAUCACGAGCAGCGGGAGUACGACGUCGUGUUCAGAAAGAUGAUGAUGGGUUUUCCGAGGUGGUUGAACGUGCGUUAGAGACCAUGUCAGCAGCUGGGAAAAGUGAUGCUUGGGAUGAUUUGGGUAACUUCAUUGCCUCAAAUGGUCGUGAAUGGGCAGCAGAAAGCCCGCAACUGGCAAAGGAGUUCAAGGCCGACAUGUAUGAAAUGGUGUUCAAUUAUCAGGAGAAAUUCGCACGGCCAAUAAUGCCGCAUUUUUUGUAAUUUUUAUGCUUUCCGCUACGUUGAGAGGAAAAACCUUUUGAGCUAAGUCUCAUUCAAUCUCAUUGUUUUUAUUAUAUUUAUCAACAUAUGUUAGUCAUAAGCAAGCCAAAUGAAAUGUGCCUUAUUUUUUGUUAUACUUAUUUAUUUUUUCUGUUUUUUUUUACAGUAUGCGGCCAAAAAAUUACCAACGGGACUCAGAUAUUUGUAUUUUCAAGUUUCUCCGAUUCUUUUAAUAUUGCUUAAUGUUUUAAGGCUUUAGUGAACUCAAUAACAUAAAGCAUAUAAAUCAAAGAUUCAAACUUUGUGCACAUUUUGUACUUUUUAAGUCUUUGCGUUGCAGUGGCACAUUCAAAUGUAUACGGUAUGGGGUCAAAAAAUUACCAACGGGACUCAGAUAUUUGUAUUUCAUUUCUCAUUCUUU